UACGGAGGAUGCGAGCGUUAUCCGGACUUAUUGGGUUUAAAGGGUGCGUAGGCGGUUUUUUAAGUUAGUGGUUAAACGUCGGGGCUUCACCUUGAUUUGCCAUUAAUACUGUAAGACUCGAGUUCAGACGAGGUAGGCGGAAUAAGUUAAGUAGCGGUGAAAUGCUUAGAUAUCAGGAGGAACACCGGCGGCGAAGGCGGCCUGCUGGACCGCGACUGACGUUGAGGCUCGAAAGCGUGGGGAGCAAACAGG
This 252-nucleotide ribosomal RNA is filed under the name uncultured Odoribacter sp. Its description in RNAcentral is "partial 16S ribosomal RNA". It matches the Rfam family "Bacterial small subunit ribosomal RNA", at positions 524 to 776 of the family's 1533-position model. Lineage: Bacteria; Pseudomonadati; Bacteroidota; Bacteroidia; Bacteroidales; Odoribacteraceae. The record is from RNAcentral.